AGCCCUUGUACGUGUGGUCCCCCUGGAGCACCGCUGGGAGUAAGCCGAGCCCCGAGCUGCCCAUAGGACGUGGUGCCAAAAGGUGUGGGGGUCCUGCUGGGUUUUCUGCUUACACCCCCAAAAUCAGAGGCAGGCAGUGUUUCUUCUGCUUCUCAGGCCCUGGAGGAACCACAUUUGGGAGGUGACACUGGAAUUGGAGACUGGUGGCAGCCCCUUCGAUAACUUCAGAUCUGUUUUGAAUAUCUCCUUGCCCAACCACCUCUGUAGCUUAAUAGUAUGAAUAGUGAACGUGAAUAAAUGAAUUCCAGAUGACAGAUCUGCAUACCAGUAGUGAUGAAACCUGGGACCCCUUCCCAAGCCACAAUCCACAAGGAAUGUGAAGCCUGGGCAUUCAUAGCCUGAUGAGAGCAGGAGCUGCUGCACCUCCCCAAAUCCCAGAGACAUCUGCUAGUGGGGUAUCAAGACUACAAUGGAUGAGGUUAAGUUGGUGCUUGUGCAUUGCCUAGACAGAAAGAUGUGAGGGAGAUGCUGGUCGCUCGCUGCAUGUCCUGGAGCUGGGCUGGUGGAGCUGGGACCAGAAGGUAAUUUUUCCAGAAAGUUGAUUACUAGAUUGGCCCACAGUGCGUUGGAUACAUUACAAAAUGCUGCUCUUUCUACAGUAUGUUGUCUCAUCCUUAAUGGGUGGUUUCUCUUAAAACUGAGAGCAAGUCCUUUGUGUGCUCAGAGAGGAUUCUCCAUCACUUGCGCCUGAAAUGAAAGAGAAUUUAUGGAAUGGGGAGCAUGAGCAAAUACCAAAGUGCAUGUGUGUGAGCUCUAGGAAGAAAACUGGAGUGGAGGCAAGUGUUAUGAGUGGCUUUGGUGCUCAGCUGGAAGGUGAAAGGAGACAAAGCUUCGAUGUACUGCUAUGGAGCUGGGCUGGAUAGCAGAGACCUAUACGUAAUUCGUAGCUCACCAGAGUCUGCAGGGCUGAGACUGAGAAGUGCUGCAUCAAAGGAGCUGAGCACUGAAGUCAUGGCUGAGAAGGAAAUGAGGGUCUAAAGUCCAAAACUGGAAACUUCCCAGGGCUCCCUACCCACCUCCCACCUGAUGCUGUGAGUACCUCUUCUCAGUCUGGUUGAUCCUGGAGCCUUUAGGAUGGCUGGAGGUUCUACCUCUGCCCUGAUCUUAGCAGCUUGGAGUUUAUCUAAUGACUGGGGUGAUCAGGACAGAGAAACCAAGUGCAUGCAUGUCUCUGCUCAGCUGGUCAGCCUCCCCAGUGGGACGAGACCUCCUUGGAAAAUCCAGCUGUGGUUCUGUCCCUCAGCCAUGUAGCUGCAGGACACGAUGUCCUGACUCUCCUCCUGCUAAGGCUUGUGUUGAAACACUUGCCCAAGAGAAUAAGCAGCCUGGCCCACUUCCCUUUUUUUACACAGCCUGAAAGUUCCCUGCCACAACUCCACCUCUGAAACAAGGCCACUGUGCAAAAGAUCAAGACUGAUGGGCAAGGAAAACAACGAGUGGGACAACGGUCAGCUGCAGUGCUUGCUGCUCAUCAUCCCAGCACCUGGGGACUUUGCCUCCUUCUGUGCACUGCAGGGAUGCUGCCCACUGGGUCAGGAUUUCCCUUGGGAGAGCCCAGCACCAUCCACGUCUCCCUGCAAGGACUCGCUGGGCUCAAGCCACGCCAGAUUUCCAGCUUGGACUCUCCACAGCCAAAGCGAACCAAACCCUUCAAUACUUUUGAACACCCUUGGACACCGUGAUGAUGAGCCCAGAAAUGCUUGGAUUAUUAGCUGCUAAUAACUGUGGAGGUAUGCCAGCAUUGGGAACAGCUUGUGCUGUCAUCAGAAGAUGGGGAAAAUGGCUGGCUGAGCAGUCAAAUGCCUUCAUGUAGAUGUUUCUGAAGAGCCUCUGCUGGUGUGCUCAAAAUGGUGGAUACAGCUACAGGGCUCUCACGUGGCUCCUACUUAUUUCUGAUCCAGCACUGAAGUCCUGGCCCAUGUGCAAGUCAAUCUAGCUUUAUCCAAUUUACUCUUUUUCCUAUAUGUCAGGCAACGCCUUAGUCUGAAGUGCGAAGGAAUUUGCUUCUGGUAUGCUGAGAAUAUGGUUUUCUGAUGAUUCCUUGCUAAAAUGUUUCUGACUGGGGCUCUGGCCUCUUGCUUCCUGGGGUACUUGCCUCACUUUGCACUGACUUGCAGAGAAAAAUAUGUGAUGGCAGUUUGAAGGAUUUGCAUUGUGCUUUACAUCCUGCUACCAAGCCAGAUGCUUUUCCCCUAGGCAGAUUUUUUUUUUUUUUUUUUUUUUUUUAACCUCCCCAAGUUAAGACUUUUAAAUGAAUUCCUACUGGUAGAGUUUCCUCCCUUCUUUUGUGUUCUGCAAGGAGCUGGCAGUGGGCUCAGGACUUGUAAUCCACAGAUGGCCUGAUGGCUCGUGAUCCAAAGCUCUAUGAAGUAAGAGGGAGAAGGAAGGGCAGGGGAAAUUUCUGUGUGUUUAAGAGGGACAAGGAUCUGCCCUAGCAGUGUACGAUGUCGAAGCACAUCUGCUUUUGUCUAAACUGAAGUACAUACACAACACCCCUUCAUAAUGGAGCUAUAACAUUAAUUAGAGCUGAUAGGGAAUUUCCCAAUCUUUGAUAUACAGUGAUUUUUGCAGGCUGAAUUUUCCAGUUGAAAACACAUUAAAAGACUGCAAGGCUUUUAGAAAAUCAUGAAA
Oxyura jamaicensis (ruddy duck) is the source of this 2691-nucleotide long non-coding RNA. RefSeq lists it as uncharacterized. The transcript has 8 exons. The record is from RefSeq and is a predicted model, not a curated record. NCBI's taxonomy places the organism in Eukaryota, Metazoa, Chordata, Aves, Anseriformes, Anatidae.